UGUUGGCAGUGGCAGGGAUCAGAACCAGGGUGUCCUACAUACAAGGGAUGCGUUCUCCCACUGAGCUACA
This 70-nucleotide transfer RNA is filed under the name Mus musculus (house mouse). Its description in RNAcentral is "tRNA-Ala". Lineage: Eukaryota; Metazoa; Chordata; Mammalia; Rodentia; Muridae. The record is from RNAcentral.